RNAcentral lists this transfer RNA (85 nucleotides) under Felis catus (domestic cat). It matches the Rfam family "tRNA". From Rfam's summary of the family: Transfer RNA (tRNA) molecules are approximately 80 nucleotides in length. Their secondary structure includes four short double-helical elements and three loops (D, anti-codon, and T loops). Lineage: Eukaryota; Metazoa; Chordata; Mammalia; Carnivora; Felidae. The record is from Rfam by way of RNAcentral.
GCCUGGGUGGCUCAGUCGGUUAAGUGUCUGACUUCAGCUCAGGUCAUGAUCUCACGGUUCGUGGGUUCGAACCCCGCGUCGGGCU